UGGCCUGAAACUGACACAUUCACAGGCUCAGAAUAAUAAUGGUGUCCGGGGGGAAACAGCAGCAGGAGGUGGAGGUUUGAUUCACCAGGCAGCACAGCAGGAUUCUGGGAACCAGGAUGGAGGUCUCCCCCUGCAGAGAGCCUCCAUCCAUCCAGCCUCCAGGACAUGACGCGGAUCCUCCAGGACGUCCACAGAGACCUCCAGUCCACCACGAGCAGACGUCAUGUCAGACAAACCUGCUCUGCAAAAACAACAACAACAACCUGUGAUGUAAAGAUGAAUAAUAUCAGUUCUGAUGAGGCUCUUCAGAUCUGAAAACUCGUCUAUGUGCUGCUUCUCGACUUCAGGUGUGACUGCAGGACUGAACUGAGUCUGCAGACAAAAGAAAACCUGGACCUGUCCGUCUUCGUUUACCCGCCGACGUCAAACCCGGAGAGGCAAACACGAGCAGCGAGGAGAGACGGCGUGAAUAAAACAUGGCCUCAGACACCAAAACACUCCAAAGGUGGGAUUUAUGGAGCAUCUCCUCCUUUUCACGUCCCCUUGACAUUUCAUUACAAAGUAAAAUAUCACAGAAAUUGGACAUUUCCUCCUGCUGGAGCUUUUCAAUAACAAGGUCCGGCUGAACGGCUGGAUAAUCCUGACAGGUGACAGACGGGCCUCGGAGAAGAAGGAUGGUCCGGUCGGGUCCCCAGCGAGUCGAGGCCCGCCGGCGCUAAAUGGUCCCCGUGAAUUUCAAUCGAGGCUCAAAGGAUUAAGAAGUAGCUGAGAGUUUCUCCACCGAGCUUUCUCAUGAGCAAGUCGCAGAGUUCAGUCCGAAACCAAGAGAAAGGAGGAUUUAUGGAGAAUAAAGGUGGAUAAUUACAAAAGAAAAGUUCAUUUAACAUCAAAUGUUGGAUGUUAUGUCCAGAAAGAACGUCCCACGUGCACGUCUGAACAUUUCCUUACUACAGUUUUCCUUCACAGAAGACCUUUAACCACACAUUUUCUGACUACUUCUAGAAAUAUUAUCAUUUUUUCCACAUCAAACAACUGUACUUUUGCAAACAGUAAUUUAUUCCUAUACAAUGUGUGCCCUUAAAUGUACACUGUUUAUACAUUUUUUAUGAUUUUUUUAAACAAAUAUUUGCUAUUUGGAAGAAAAAUUAUGUGAUUAUGGAAAAACUGUAUUAAUAUUUCAGUUGUUAUUUUACAGAUUUUCCUCUUUUGUUAAAUUACACAUAUCUAAUAAAAUCUCAGAAAAAAUAUUAAUUUGUAUUUUAAUUCUGAAAAAAAUGGCCCAAACUACUUCUUCUUCUAUUUUUUUUUUACAAAUAUUUGUCAAUAUUUGAAAGAAAAAGUCUGUAUUUUUAAGACUGAAAAAUAGUAAAUAAAUUUUUACAUUUUUAUUUUAAAUAUUUUCACUGUUCAUAGAAAAAGUAUUCAUUUACAUGUUGUCCACAUCAAAAAUUAAUAUUUUUUAAACAAAUAACUUAUCCUUUUAUGCCAAUAAACAGUAAAAUUAUACUAUUUUCUACUGUUUUAUAAUCAGCUUAAAAGUCUCAUCAUUUUACAGAUAUUCACAGUUAUUUGAAAGAAAAAAUAUAUAGAUGAAGAAAAAUCAUAAAUAUGUUCUUAACUAUUAUAUUACAGAUUUUCACUGUUUUGGUAAAUUACAGAUUUCUAGUAAAAUUGCAGAAAAAAUAGAUUAAUUUAUAUUGUAAUUUUUUUUUAAAAAAUGACCCAAAAUCAUUCAAAAAUCUACAUUUUCAGAAUUUGUGAUUUGUUCUUUUACAUUCUGACAAUAAAAUUAGACAAUUUUACUGCAUUUAAUCUGCGAUAAAAAUAUAUGUAUUCAAUUUUUUUUACAAAUGUUUAUUACAAAGAAAAAUAAUGUAUAAUAAAGAUUGAAAAAUAGUAAAAAGUUUAAAUACUAUUUUACAGGAUUUCCCUGCUCACAGAAAAAGCAUUAAAAUACACAUUAAUCAUAAAAACAACAGCCUGAAACGGCACAUAAUAACGUCCACAUCAGUAAAUAAGAAUCAGUUAUUUUACAAUGUAAAAAGUUUUCCUGUAUUCAUCAUUUGAAAUAUUAUCUUAAAGAGAUUCCCUGUUAUUUUCACAGUUUUUGAGCAUUAUAUUUAUCUCAGCACUGGUGUGCCGCACAAACAUACUCCGGCAAACAACUACGUACAUUUACUCAAGUACUGUCAUUACGUACUGUUUUGAGGUACUUUUACUUUGCAGUUUUGGACUUUUAUUUGUUGAGAAUAAUUUCAUCAGGAGUUCUCGUAACUGUAAAAGAUCGAUGCAAAUGGUUGUGUAAAUUUAGCUUUUUGUUGUU
Molecule: long non-coding RNA, 2323 nt
Organism: Acanthochromis polyacanthus (spiny chromis)
Lineage: Eukaryota; Metazoa; Chordata; Actinopteri; Pomacentridae
Exons: 3
Source: RefSeq, a predicted model, not a curated record